This 253-nucleotide ribosomal RNA is filed under the name uncultured bacterium. Its description in RNAcentral is "partial 16S ribosomal RNA". It matches the Rfam family "Bacterial small subunit ribosomal RNA", at positions 524 to 776 of the family's 1533-position model. The record is from RNAcentral.
UACGUAGGAGGCGAGCGUUGUCCGGAAUCACUGGGCGUAAAGCGCGCGUAGGCGGGAAGGCAAGUCUGCUGUGAAAGCGCCUGGCUUAACCGGGCGAGGUCGGCGGAAACUGCUUAGCUGGAGGGCGGUAGAGGGGGGUGGAAUUCCCGGUGUAGUGGUGAAAUGCGUAGAGAUCGGGAGGAACACCUGUGGCGAAGGCGGCCCCCUGGGCCGCACCUGACGCUGAGACGCGAAGGCGUGGGGAGCGAACGGG